CAGUAGCCGCGGUAAUACGGAGGGAGCUAGCGUUGUUCGGAAUUGCUGGGCGUAAGGCGCACGUAGGCGGUUAUUCAAGUCAGAGGUGAAAGCCCGGGGCUCAACCCCGGAACUGCCUUUGAAACUAGAUGACUGGAAUCUUGGAGAGGUCAGUGGAAUCCCGAGUGUAGAGGUGAAAUUCGUAGAUAUUCGGAAGAACACCAGUGGCGAAGGCGACUGACUGGACAAGUAUUGACGCUGAGGUGCGAAAGCGUGGGGAGCAAACAGGAUUAGAGACCCGCGUAGUCCCUGUCUCUUAUAC
RNAcentral lists this ribosomal RNA (301 nucleotides) under uncultured bacterium. Its description in RNAcentral is "partial 16S ribosomal RNA". It matches the Rfam family "Bacterial small subunit ribosomal RNA", at positions 509 to 807 of the family's 1533-position model. The record is from RNAcentral.